This 330-nucleotide ribosomal RNA is filed under the name uncultured Anaerolineaceae bacterium. RNAcentral describes it as "bacterial SSU rRNA". It matches the Rfam family "Bacterial small subunit ribosomal RNA", at positions 1039 to 1382 of the family's 1533-position model. Lineage: Bacteria; Bacillati; Chloroflexota; Anaerolineae; Anaerolineales; Anaerolineaceae. The record is from RNAcentral.
UGUUGCAUGGCUGUCGUCAGCUCGUGUCGUGAGAUGUUCGGUUAAGUCCGCUAACGAGCGCAACCCUCGCUGUAUGUUACAUGUGUCAUACAGGACCGCCGGUAUCAAGCCGGAGGAAGGUGGGGAUGACGUCAAGUCCGCAUGGCCUUUAUGUCCGGGGCUACACACACGCUACAAUGGUCGGUACAAUGGGUUGCUAAGCCGCGAGGUGGAGCCAAUCCCCCAAAGCCGGCCUCAGUUCAGAUUGCAGGCUGCAACUCGCCUGCAUGAAGCUGGAGUUGCUAGUAAACGCGCGUCAGCUAUAGUGCGUUGAAUACGUUCUCGGGCCUU